GUAUACCCAUUGCACAGCAGUCCUGCAUUCUCCCUCUCUGCCAGUCCCUGCAGCCAUCCAUUCUCUAAUUCUAUGAAUUUGACUAUUUCACAUUCCUCAUGUGAGUGGGAUCCUGCAGGUUUUGUACUGUGUGUGGCUUGUGACACUAUGUCCUCAAGGUUCACCCAUGUUGGAGCAUGUGACAGGAUUUCCAUCUAUUUUAAAGUUGAAUAAUAUAAUGUUGCAUUGUGAAUAUGUGUAUGAGAGAGAGAGAGAGAGAGAGAGAGAGAGAGAGAGAGAGAGAGAGAGAGAGAAGGAAGGAGAAAAUGAAGGAAACAGGGAGAGAGAGAGAGAGUCUGUUUCCACAUCUAGGGUUUCAAUGUGUUUGGAGAAAUCUCCAGAAGCAGGCUUGCUGAAUCACCUGGUCAUUGUAUUUUUGUUCAUGGAACCUCCAUGCUGUUUCUGGGUGACUGCAUCCUUGGACGCUCCCAGCCACAGCUCACGAGCCCUCCCUUUUCUCCCCGCCCUCCCCAGCGCUGGCCAUCUUUUGCUCAUUUUGAUGGUGGCCCUCGGAACAGGGGCAGGGUGGUAUCUGAUGGUGGUUUUCAAUGAUAUCUCCCUUCCCAUAGACCUGCAGGCCAUUCGUUUCUCUUCUUUUGGACACCCCCUUUUGUACCCUGGUGUUCCCGUAUGCCAUCCACCACAAACAUUUCUCCACAUAUUCUUUGCUCUGUGGCCAGGCGCAGUGGUGCAUGCUGGUAAUCCCUGCAGCAGCUCAGGAGGCUGAGGCAGGAGGACUGCAAGUUUGCGACCAGCCUCAGCACCUUAGAGAGACUCUGUGUCUAAACAAAAUAUUUUUAAAAGGUGGAGCUGUGUAUGGCUUAGUGCUUAAGCACCCCUGGGUACCAAAAAACAAAACAAAACAAAAAACUAAUACUGG
Molecule: long non-coding RNA, 919 nt
Filed under: Marmota monax (woodchuck)
Lineage: Eukaryota; Metazoa; Chordata; Mammalia; Rodentia; Sciuridae
Source: RNAcentral